RNAcentral lists this ribosomal RNA (586 nucleotides) under uncultured bacterium. RNAcentral describes it as "bacterial SSU rRNA". It matches the Rfam family "Bacterial small subunit ribosomal RNA", at positions 31 to 607 of the family's 1533-position model. The record is from RNAcentral.
GAACGCUGGCGGCGGCCUAACACAUGCAAGUCGAGCGGAAACGAAGAGGUGCUUGCACCUCUGGCGUCGAGCGGCGGACGGGUGAGUAAUGCUUGGGAAUAUGCCUUAUGGUGGGGGACAACAGUUGGAAACGACUGCUAAUACCGCAUAAUGUCUACGGACCAAAGUGGGGGACCUUCGGGCCUCACGCCAUAAGAUUAGCCCAAGUGGGAUUAGCUAGUUGGUGAGGUAAUGGCUCACCAAGGCGACGAUCCCUAGCUGGUUUGAGAGGAUGAUCAGCCACACUGGGACUGAGACACGGCCCAGACUCCUACGGGAGGCAGCAGUGGGGAAUAUUGCACAACGGGCGCAAGCCUGAUGCAGCCAUGCCGCGUGUGUGAAGAAGGCCUUCGGGUUGUAAAGCACUUUCAGUAAGGAGGAAAGGUUAAGUGUUAAUAGCACUUAGCUGUGACGUUACUUACAGAAGAAGCACCGGCUAACUCCGUGCCAGCAGCCGCGGUAAUACGGAGGGUGCGAGCGUUAAUCGGAAUUACCGGGCGUAAAGCGUACGCAGGCGGUUUGUUAAGCGAGAUGUGAAAGCCCCGGG